AGAAAUAUGUCUGACAAAAGAGUUACUUUGAUAGAGUAAAUAAUAGAGGCUUAUUUCUA
Molecule: transfer RNA, 59 nt
Filed under: Macaca fascicularis (crab-eating macaque)
Lineage: Eukaryota; Metazoa; Chordata; Mammalia; Primates; Cercopithecidae
Description: tRNA-Ile
Source: RNAcentral